RNAcentral lists this ribosomal RNA (253 nucleotides) under uncultured bacterium. RNAcentral's name for it is "partial 16S ribosomal RNA". It matches the Rfam family "Bacterial small subunit ribosomal RNA", at positions 524 to 776 of the family's 1533-position model. The record is from RNAcentral.
CACAGAGGGUGCGAGCGUUAAUCGGAAUUACUGGGCGUAAAGCGUGCGUAGACGGCUAUUUAAGUCGGGUGUGAAAGCCCCGGGCUCAACCUGGGAAUUGCAUUCGAGACUGAAUAGCUAGGGUACGGUAGAGGGAAGUGGAAUUUCCGGUGUAGCGGUGAAAUGCGUAGAUAUCGGAAGGAACAUCAGUGGCGAAGGCGGAUCUCUGGGCCAUUACUGACGCUGAGGAGCGAAAGCGUGGGGAGCGAACAGG